This 433-nucleotide ribosomal RNA is filed under the name uncultured archaeon. Its description in RNAcentral is "bacterial SSU rRNA". It matches the Rfam family "Archaeal small subunit ribosomal RNA", at positions 474 to 903 of the family's 1478-position model. The record is from RNAcentral.
UACCUGCAGCUCUAGUUGGUGUCCGCUAUUAUUGGGCCUAAAACGUCCGUAGCCGGCUUAUUAAAUGCCUGGGUAAAUCGUACGGCUCAACUGUACGAAUUCCGGGUAGACUGAUAGGCUUGGGACCGGGAGAAGCUAGAGGUACUUUUGGGGUAGAAGGUGAAAUUCUGUAAUCCUAGGGGGACCACCAGUGGCGAAGGCGUCUAGCUAGAACGGGUCUGACGGUGAGGGACGAAGCCCUGGGGAGCAAACGGGGAUUAGAUACCCCGGUAGUCCAGGGUGUAAACGCUGCUUGCUUGAUGUUAGUUGGGCUCCGAGCCCGAUUAGUGUCGGAGAGAAGUUGUUAAGCAAGCUGCCUGGGAAGUACGGCCGCAGGGACUGAAACUUAAAGGAAUUGGCGGGGGAGCACUGCAACGGGUGGAGCGUGCGGUUU